CCAAGGGUAUGGCUGUUCGCCAUUUAAAGUGGUACGCGAGCUGGGUUUAGAACGUCGUGAGACAGUUCGGUCCCUAUCUGCCGUGCGCGUUUGAGAUUUGAGAGGAUCUGCCCUUAGUACGAGAGGACCGGGGUGGACGAACCUCUGGUGUUCCGGUUGUCACGCCAGUGGCACUGCCGGGUAGCUACGUUCGGAAGGGAUAACCGCUGAAAGCAUCUAAGCGGGAAGCCCACCUCAAGAUGAGAUCUCACUUGACCCUCGAGGUCACUGAAGGGCCCUGGAAGACCACCAGGUUGAUAGGCUGGGUGUGGAAGUUCAGCAAUGGAUGAAGCUAACCAGUACUAAUUGCCCGUGAGGCUUGACCAUAUAACGCUCAAGCGUU
This 382-nucleotide ribosomal RNA is filed under the name Nevskiales bacterium. RNAcentral describes it as "bacterial LSU rRNA". It matches the Rfam family "Bacterial large subunit ribosomal RNA", at positions 2565 to 2925 of the family's 2925-position model. The record is from RNAcentral. Lineage: Bacteria; Pseudomonadati; Pseudomonadota; Gammaproteobacteria; Nevskiales.